This is a long non-coding RNA of Physeter macrocephalus (sperm whale), 837 nucleotides long. RefSeq lists it as uncharacterized. Lineage: Eukaryota; Metazoa; Chordata; Mammalia; Artiodactyla; Physeteridae. The record is from RefSeq and is a predicted model, not a curated record. The transcript has 4 exons.
GCCCGGGUGGCGCCGGACGAUUACAGUUGGAGAGCUGGUGGCAAACUCGCGCAGCAGUGGGUCUGCGUGGCGACACCUCCGACACCUCAGAAAAAUAAACCAAAGGGACAUCGCGGACAAAUACAUCAGCGGACACCACUGCAGGCCAGGAGAAUCUCCACUAAAAUCAUCAGCGCUUCCCCUGUGGCUUUUGGUCCCCCGAAGUGAAAAAAAUGAGGUUUCCGAAAAGUCCAGGGCAAGAACCUGCGGCGAAAUAAGUUCAGGGACUCUCUGAGAAACAGGGAGAGAGAGUGCUUCCAUCUUCGUUUCACUUUAAACUUGGCCGCUUCUCGGACUUCACUGAGGGGCGGCGGCGUAGCACCAGCACGGAGCACAAGCACAUACGAGCGAGCACAUCCAAUACUUUUGGACGCGAGGGUGACUCCUUUUUGCUUCAGGAUUGUCCCACUUGCCCCCCUUCCCUAUCGAGCUGAUAGGAACCGCUGAAGACCAGGAGAUAAAGUGCUCGGACCGAGGUGAGGAGAGGGUACACUUAACCAGCUGUAAGAAGACGAGAGCUGGAGUUCAAAUAUCUUCCUGGGUGCUUAUAAGUAACGGUACCAGCUUCCCAAAUCAUAGUCCUUUCCUUCAAUAACUCUUUUAAAAGUACCCUGAAGACAACAUUAAACGUUUGAAAACAAGUGUUCCGGUUAUUUCUAAGACAUCCUCUUCAUCUAACCCCAGAUCUGCCACCUGCCCCCUGACUCGCGGUGAAAAAGAAUCCUGUAUAAGGGGAUGCUUCUCUUCUGCCUUUUGCAACCCAGGUCAUCCUAGACAUGAAUGAUUUCUAACCAUAUG